CACAGAUUUGGAGCCUGGGCUAUUAUUUCCAGUGACUUGCAGCCUUGAGGGCAGCAGUGAAAUGGAAAAGAGCAGGGCAGCCUGCUCUCCCAGCGAUGUUCACUGCAUCUGAAAGGUCAUGUCAUGUUUCCUGGCAAUUGACUCAAUGGGUUUGGAUUCUACAACAUAAGGUCAGGCUGUUUCCACUCUGCCUGUGUUUCCUGGGGAACGUGCCUUCCAGUUGUUUUCACGUUGACCUCAUUAUCCAGCCCUGGCGAUGAGCUUGGCUCGGACUCGCUGCGGCUGCCCAGGCUGGGACUGCCCUGCCUCCGAGACCCUGUACCUCUGGCCUGGGGAACGUGGGUGGGUGUCGAUGCCUCUCUCUCAUGGCUUAGGAAGGCCUGAUCUCUCUCCCAGUCAAGACCAGCUGUGUGUCACUGAACAAGGACUGCGGGAGUAGUCUGACCAGUUAUCUGCUGAAGUUAGAAGAAGGAGAAUAGGAGUCUGACACGAGGAAAGAACGUUCUGAAUCAUGAAGGUCAAUCAGGCCGUAGAAGAAUUUUGCUCUGGAAGCUGUCAAGACACCAGAACUGGAGUUAUUCAGGGGAAAAUUGGCUGUAAUACUUGGGGAAAUAGAAUGGGAAGACUCUUUGCCCUUGUGUUCAAUGUCUGAAGGAGAUGACCCAGCAGCCAAUCUAUAAAUAAAAUGCUUUUUCGUUGUCUAAGAUUUUGGUGCUUUGGGAAUGUGUUUGGGCACUUUGAAAAGUGACAAUACAAAAAGCGUGGCAGUAAAAUGAAAGCCUGAUGCUUCUCUUCAUCACAAAAACUGUAUUUGAAAUGUGAAGCCCAUUCUAAAAUGCAGAUCUGGCCGUGUCACUCGCUCUCUGCAUUAGAUCAGUCAACUCUGUAGGAACAUGUUGUAGAAUGGCCCUGCACCAUUGAACUGUAGUUUUUGCUCUACUGUCUGAGGCAGCUGCUCCUGGCUGGUGGGGAGCUUUCUUCCACACAGUGAUUCAGGAGCCCAAGUUCCUUUUGUCUUCCACCGUGCCCUACACUCUGGCCAUCCUUUGCAUGAACUGGUGCAAAGAGAAAGGAUGUGUGGGAGGGACAGCUACUUCUUAAAAGCCUUGGCCAGAACAGGCGCCAUCUUCCUUUUCAUAUUCCAUUGGCUAGGACCCAGCCACGUGGCCACACCUGCCAGCAAGGGAGGCUGGGAAAUGGGGUUGGCAGGAUGCCCAGGGAGAGGUGGGGAUGGCUUAUGCUCCCUGUCUUAAAGUCCUUCAACAGAUCCCCACUGCUCUGAGAUUGGAGCAUUUACACCAGGCAGAGCAUAGUCAUAGUCUUGAGAAGUAAAUUAAAGCGAUGGAACCUCCCCCCAUCCUUAUACCCAUAGCCAAUUCUGCCUACAGUUUUAGGGAGUGUUCCCAGAGGCCGUUAACAGGAUCCCUGAUGUAGAGGGGCAGAGAAAUUGUUCUCUGAUAAUGGUCCAGUCUAUGAAGUAGCUUUUUCAUGAGAAACUAGUGCACCUUCAGAAGGCCUGGAUGGAUAGGAAGGUUGAAAGGGCCUAAAUUUAAUGCCAUCAUCUUUAGGAUGGCUUGCCUGAGGAAUACGUGGAUGGAAAAUGCUAGCCCUGCACAUGGGCACAUGGUGAGCUGAGCUGUUUUCUGCAAAGGUGCAGCUAACAAGGCCCUGUUUGAUUGCCACCUUCUGCCAUGUGAGACAUCAUGGCUUCCCACCCCAGAGGCAAGGCUGAUGUGUAUACACAAGGUGGCCAGUCCCAGAGGACCAAUUGCAUAGAAACUCGUGCAGGUGUCAUAAUUAGCCAUUUCCUGAUGAAACCCCACAAAUAAGCUAC
This 1834-nucleotide long non-coding RNA is filed under the name Equus caballus (horse). RNAcentral describes it as "lncRNA (ENSECAG00000056449.1)". Lineage: Eukaryota; Metazoa; Chordata; Mammalia; Perissodactyla; Equidae. The record is from RNAcentral.